AAUGUAUUCACAGUCGUGUUCGAGCAAAUAUUUGUUUAAUUUUUAAUACAAUUUUUUCUCAGUGUAAUCCCGAGCGUUGCUCGAUCACACUAAAGAUCUCCCAGAGUGCCGAUGCCCGAAAUAAUUCUAGCUUUCUUGAAACGAGAAUUGAAAUGCCGAGAUCGACACGACGAGAUGAUGAACCGAAAGAUUGUUAUUAUUGUCGAGAAAGUUUUUCGACACGUUGCCUCGUCUCUAUUAGUCUCGAUAUUACGACACGUUCUUGGGACACUUUCUAGAAUCUAGAUCUGCGCUCUGGGAGAUCCGAUCUCCGGACUUUUGGAUUUCCAAAGUUGCUUUUUUCCCGGGGGCGAAGCCCACGAAGUCGCAGAGUUACCAAGCGAUCGAUCGCUGCUCGUAGCAGCCGCGUGUGUAACAGUGUAGAUAAAGUUGCCGAGGUCGUGAUGCAUUAUUCAGCAAUAAAUCGUAAUCAAGCGAGACAUCGCGCAGGCCGAUCGCUAAUUGAUCGAUCAGUUUCGGCCGAACUUAACCGGCGCACGUCCCAAUUAAUCACUCGGCCGGUCACCGUGAUUCGCAUUCGAGGCGGAUCGACGAAGGGCGGAUUCCCGCCGUGUCGGCCUGGCGGUCUUUCGGCGCUGAUACGCGCUCCGCAGGUUUCAAUCUAAGUUUAAACCCGUUGCCGUGAUUAACGAUAUUUGCCCGCUGAAAGUGCGGCUGGUGAAUCGGCCGCGCGCUCUCUUCGCGGCGAAGACGGUUACAUAACGCCGAAGCUGAAGCUUCGGAACACUCUCGCCGGUGUCUGUAUAUUGUCUAUCGAGAUUGAUGUUUGGCUAACGAGCUAAAUUUAGACGGAAGCCCGCGAGUGACGGACAGCCCUCCGUACUGGCACACAUUUGGCCAGCGAGAGUGAAAGCCUCGAUUCGCGCCGCUCGUCAGCCGGUUUCCCGAAUAAUUAUACCCUUAGGCGACGUGUCGCAGCCUCUGUUGACUCCGUCGAGGUCUUCUUCUUUUUUCCUCCCCUGAUUACGCGAGGAGAGACGCUUCGAAGAUCCGCGCUUGAGCGGCUCACCUUCGGGCCGGGUUCCGAUUUAGCGGCGUUUCUGCCGAGGAAGUUACCAAGCCGCAACUUCCACAAUGCCUUAAUAUAACUCGAGGUAGCGGAACUCGUUGCUCUCCGAGCAACAUCAACGAGGUGGUGGGAUCUCGUCUUCUACCAAUCCCGCGGCCAGGAGGUGCGAGCGCCGCGAGGAAGACCCGAGCGCCGUUCGUGCCGCGCGCGAUUGAGUGGGUGGGGCCGCGCUGCCGCUGGCGAUGCGGUUCCUGGAGGAAUUUCGGGAUCACCGGGGCUCCGAGCGCGGAUCCUGCGUCGCGCCACGCUAGUCUACGAUCGCACGUAAAGUGGCGUGGCACGCACGUUGCUCAGGCCGAGAGCGCGAUCUUGGAGAAUUCACGCACCCCCACACUCGCGCACGCUCCACACGCAUACACGCGCGCACGUGCGACGCACACACACACACACACACACACACACGCACACACGCACACACACACACACACACACAAGAUACCCUCGUAUAUAACAACAUUCGGCGUUGAAUUCGAAGACUCAACUGUUAGCACGGCAAACGCCAUUAGUUCGCGAAAACAGUCCAAUCAUUCAGAGUGUGCUGACCGUACCGGCCAGAAGAUGCCACAAGCGGGCCACGAGACGAAAAACCUUCUGAUGACGUACAUGAUCCUCAUCCUCCUGCUAAUCUCGCUCUGGUUACUGUACUCGGGGAUGUUUUAUUAAACACGGCACAUUCCUCAUCAUGGGCUGAAGAACAACGAGAACACGUGUCGCACGGCGGACGCACGCGGAGGACUCAGGAUCGCCAUGGACACCUCGUUCGAAGCCCACCGGCUCUCUCUCUCGCCAGCAUUUCUCGUACUUCCUACAACUUUAGGUGCCUCGGAGAUAUACGUUCCGCGCAAAUCGCUCUCUCUCUCUCUCUCUCUCUCUCUCUCUCUCUCUCUCUCUCUCUCUCUCUCUUUCUCUCGUUGCUCGGCGCUCGAUCUCCGCGACCUGGACAGCCGCCGGUUCCCGUCGUUCCCCACGUUCGGAGGCAUCGCGGGGAAAACGAAGACGCCGGCAGGGACGGAGGAGCAGCGAGGACGCCGCGAGGCCUCCCACGAGCUCGUCGCUUUCUCGACUCUCCUCGCUCCGUCGCGGAAAUCGGCUACGCUACGCUGAAAAUAACCUCCUAGUUACGUUACGCUAAUCGGAUUCUCCUAGACGGGGAACAGCGGCGGACACGAUAUUCGUUGUCUCGCGAGCGCCGAUUCGCAGGCGCGUGUCCCGUCGUUGUUAACCGGCUCUGUCCUCAUUUGAGCUCGCCGAUCGUCAAUAAAUCACGCCAAGGGUAGCUCCGAGUGUCGUUCCGUCGUGUCGGGCCGCCGCGUCUCGUUUUAUUUUCUUCGAUCACGAUACAUAGAUCACAUGCCCCACCCACGCCUAUACCACCUACACACAUUCGUGUCCUUGCAGAUUUGCUCGCACUGUAUCUUCGAUGAUAGCACAGACGACGAAAUAAAUCUCUUCGUUCGGAA
Molecule: long non-coding RNA, 2589 nt
Organism: Harpegnathos saltator (Jerdon's jumping ant)
Lineage: Eukaryota; Metazoa; Arthropoda; Insecta; Hymenoptera; Formicidae
Exons: 3
Source: RefSeq, a predicted model, not a curated record